GUCCCCAACCUCAAAACCCGGACUGGAGUCGCCUUCCUGCCAAGUGCUCGUCGGCUGCAGACUCAUUCGCCUUCCUGAAGCGGAGGCGUCGCCCGAGGAGCCGCGGUGCCGAAUGGGGCGUGCUCGCCAAGGCUUUCGCGCAUCUCGCAGAGGUGCUUCUUACAUGCGUACCGGCAACAAGUGCUGACUCCGAGCUGGGCCAGAACAGGACGCGGAUCCAAAGCCAGGACCCAGCUGGAGGAGGAUGACCUACAAGGAAAAUGAUCAGCAACAUUACUACUACUGGCAUGCUGGGUGGAUUCAUGAUUAAGAGGGAGCUGGAUAUAAAGCUGAGUUCAAAUCUGUCAUCUUCAACCUUUGCUGACCCUAUGAAGAAAGCCCUCCAAAAUGUCCUGUCCAUGACAGCUCCAUUCAAC
Molecule: long non-coding RNA, 416 nt
Organism: Varanus komodoensis (Komodo dragon)
Lineage: Eukaryota; Metazoa; Chordata; Lepidosauria; Squamata; Varanidae
Exons: 3
Source: RefSeq, a predicted model, not a curated record